CACUUAUGGAUGGACCCGCGUCGCAUUAGCUAGUUGGUGAGGUAACGGCUCACCAAGGCAACGAUGCGUAGCCGACCUGAGAGGGUGAUCGGCCACACUGGGACUGAGACACGGCCCAGACUCCUACGGGAGGCAGCAGUAGGGAAUCUUCCGCAAUGGACGAAAGUCUGACGGAGCAACGCCGCGUGAGUGAUGAAGGCUUUCGGGUCGUAAAACUCUGUUGUUAGGGAAGAACAAGUGCUAGUUGAAUAAGCUGGCACCUUGACGGUACCUAACCAGAAAGCCACGGCUAACUACGUGCCAGCAGCCGCGGUAAUACGUAGGUGGCAAGCGUUAUCCGGAAUUAUUGGGCGUAAAGCGCGCGCAGGUGG
RNAcentral lists this ribosomal RNA (371 nucleotides) under Bacillus sp. E2.As 5. RNAcentral describes it as "bacterial SSU rRNA". It matches the Rfam family "Bacterial small subunit ribosomal RNA", at positions 216 to 578 of the family's 1533-position model. Lineage: Bacteria; Bacillati; Bacillota; Bacilli; Caryophanales; Bacillaceae. The record is from RNAcentral.